GACAUGUAGGUAUUACAGACUGGGUCAGGUUGAGACAUGUAGGUAUUACAGACUGGGUCAGGUUGAGACAUGUAGGUAUUACAGACUGGGUCAGGUUGAGACAUGUAGGUAUUACAGACUGGGUCAGGUUGAGACAUGUAGGUAUUACAGACUGGGUCAGGUUGAGACAUGUAGGUAUUACAGACUGGGACAGGUUGAGACAUGUAGGUAUUACAGACUGGGUCAGGGUCAGGUUGAGACAUGUUGGUAUUACAGACUGGGUCAGGUUGAGACAUGUAGGUAUUACAGACUGGGUCAGGUUGAGACAUGUAGGUAUUACAGACUGGGUCAGGUUGAGACAUGUUGGUAUUACUGACUGGGUCAGGUUGAGACAUGUAGGUAUUACAGACUGGGUCAGGUUGAGACAUGUAGGUAUUACAGACUGGGUCAGGUUGAGACAUGUAGGUAUUACAGACUGGGUCGGGUUGAGACAUGUAGGUAUU
Molecule: long non-coding RNA, 482 nt
Organism: Oncorhynchus keta (chum salmon)
Lineage: Eukaryota; Metazoa; Chordata; Actinopteri; Salmoniformes; Salmonidae
Exons: 3
Source: RefSeq, a predicted model, not a curated record